Molecule: ribosomal RNA, 253 nt
Filed under: uncultured bacterium
Lineage: Bacteria
Description: partial 16S ribosomal RNA
Rfam family: Bacterial small subunit ribosomal RNA
Source: RNAcentral
UACAGAGGGGGCAAGCGUUGUUCGGAAUUACUGGGCGUAAAGGGCGCGUAGGCGGCCUUCUAAGUCGAACGUGAAAUCCCCGGGCUCAACCCGGGAACUGCGUCCGAUACUGGAAGGCUUGAAUCCGGGAGAGGGAUGUGGAAUUCCAGGUGUAGCGGUGAAAUGCGUAGAUAUCUGGAGGAACACCGGUGGCGAAGGCGACAUCCUGGACCGGUAUUGACGCUGAGGCGCGAAAGCCAGGGGAGCAAACGGA